AUGAUGAGAAAAAUUACUAGCAAUUCCAUUGGUCAUAAUUUGCUUGAGUCAAAAUUUUCUCAAUCUUCUGAUUUUGUGUGCACAUCUUGUGACACGGGAAAGCUAAUUUUGAGGCCCUCACACCUCAAAAUACAAGCUGAACCACUUCAGUUCCUUGAACGUAUUCAAGGAGACAUUUGUGGUCCUAUUCAACCAUUAUCUGGACCUUUCCGCUUUGUUGACGAAUUGCAACUUGCCAACCUCUUGUUGGGGUCACGCUGUUUUACACGCUGCUGA
RNAcentral lists this ribosomal RNA (276 nucleotides) under Triticum aestivum (bread wheat). RNAcentral's name for it is "partial small subunit ribosomal RNA". Lineage: Eukaryota; Viridiplantae; Streptophyta; Magnoliopsida; Poales; Poaceae. The record is from RNAcentral.